This is a long non-coding RNA of Lampris incognitus (smalleye Pacific opah), 521 nucleotides long. RefSeq lists it as uncharacterized. Lineage: Eukaryota; Metazoa; Chordata; Actinopteri; Lampriformes; Lampridae. The record is from RefSeq and is a predicted model, not a curated record. The transcript is spliced from 3 exons.
GACAGAGUGAAUGUCUGUGUGACGACUUGCCCGGGGUGUCUCCUUGCCUUCUGCCCAUUGCGUGCUGGGAUAGACUGCAGCCCUCUGCAACCCUGAACUGGAUUAAGCAGUUGCACCUGGCCAAUCAUCCCGCUCUCUGAACUGUCCUGGUUGCUGCUCCACCCCCUCUGCCGAUCCGGGGAAGGCCGCAGACUACCACAAGCCUUCUCCGAUACAUGUGGUGUCACCAGCCGCUUUUCCCCCCACCUGACAGUGAGGAGUUUCACCAGGAGGACGUAGCACGUUGGAGGAUCAUGCUAUUCCCUCCAGUUCCCUCUCCCGCCCGAACAGGCACCCUGGCCGACCAGAGGAGGCGCUAGUGUGGCGACCAGGACACAUACCCACAUCCGGCUUCCCACCCGCAGACAAGGCCAAUUGUGUCUAUAGGGACGCCCCAGCAAGCCGGAGACAACAUGGGGACUCGAACCGGAGGUCCCCGUGUUAGUAGGCAACGGAAUAGACCGCUACGCUACCCAGACACA